CUGAUUCGUUGUUUUAUCUUUUAUUAAUUCUUUGGCAUGCAGGAAAUGAACAAAUUCUGAUUAAAUGUUUUUGAAAAAAAAGGAACAGUUUUAAUAUGGAACGACUCCGAAAAACUAUUCGCACAGGGA
Molecule: non-coding RNA, 129 nt
Organism: Drosophila virilis
Lineage: Eukaryota; Metazoa; Arthropoda; Insecta; Diptera; Drosophilidae
Source: RefSeq, a predicted model, not a curated record